Molecule: long non-coding RNA, 1108 nt
Filed under: Homo sapiens (human)
Lineage: Eukaryota; Metazoa; Chordata; Mammalia; Primates; Hominidae
Description: HSALNT0308924
Source: RNAcentral
GCUCUGAGACAGAAGGAGCCCAGCUGCAGAGAAUCUAGGCCACUGUGACUUGGUCUUCCCCUCUCUGGGAUAUCACAAAGGCCAUAUGAGGUCAGUGAACCAAUCUACAAGAGAAGGGCUGAGCAGGGGACCUGAGAUGAUUUUCUCCAAUAUUUAGUCAGACUGAUUUUCUGGAUCCAAGUUUCUCAACUUACCAAAUGUGGGCAAAUCAUUAUAUUGCUCCCAGCCUUAAAAAUCUUCAAUAAGUUAAAGAGAGGACUCAGGCUUAAUGGCAAUCCUGUUAUCUUACCAAUGAGGAGACUAAACACCUAGUUGGAGAUCACCUCCUUACUGGCUCAGAGCUUCAGGAAAUAGCUCAAGGAUGUGCAAAUACUAAACAGUAGAGCUGGGAUUUAGAUCCACAUCUACUUAAUUUUAGUGCGUAUGCUCUAACUGCUGCCACAGAAGGGAUGCAGAGGAAGACGGUCAGUUACCCAGAGGGUGAUAUCUUUGACUUAAUGUUCACCAUAAAGACAGCUAUCAACAAAAGACUUGAAUUCUAACUUGUUAUCUAUUGCAGGAAAGUGCCUGCAAUAUGUACUGCCCCAACCACUCAACCAAGCUCUCAUGUUGACUUUCAGCCAUUGUGACAAGGCACCAUCAAUCAUCAUGUCCCUUUACCAGGAGGGCCCGUGUCAUAAGCCACUAUAUAAAGGGAAUGAUGGGUGGACUGCUUUGGACAAAUGGACCUGCGGUAGGAGAGAGGGACAACAGUAGGAGCAGGCAGAUCUUGCUGUUUCAACCAAAACCUCAUGCUGACCAGAGUUGAGGAACAGAAGAAGAUGGUGAAGGCCUGCAGGUAUAGGUGUUCAGCAUGUCAUCUGAAAUAUUCCCCACAGAGGCAAAAAGAAAGGAAAUUAUCUCUGAAAAGGAAUGGGAGGACAAGUCAGCAGAAUAUGUCAAUGUUUUGGUUGAAGAAGCUGCUUGAAUCUGGGCUUUUCUGUGCCAUGUGUUCUCCCAGGGCCAGCACAAAGAAGGGCUUUUGGUGCAGGCCCAAGACCACCAUAAUCAUCAUUGAUUAUUCCUCUCCACGCCAGUGUCUCUAAAUAAACUUUCUCUUCUUUCUCUG